This 253-nucleotide ribosomal RNA is filed under the name uncultured bacterium. RNAcentral's name for it is "partial 16S ribosomal RNA". It matches the Rfam family "Bacterial small subunit ribosomal RNA", at positions 524 to 776 of the family's 1533-position model. The record is from RNAcentral.
UACAGAGGGUGCGAGCGUUAAUCGGAAUUACUGGGCGUAAAGCGCACGUAGGUGGCGACGUAAGUCGGGUGUGAAAGCCCCGGGCUCAACCUGGGAAUUGCAUUCGAGACUGCAUUGCUGGAGUACGGAAGAGGAGGGCGGAAUUCCCGGUGUAGCGGUGAAAUGCGUAGAUAUCGGAAGGAACAUCAGUGGCGAAGGCGACUUCCUGGACCAAUACUGACGCUCAGGUGCGAAAGCGUGGGGAGCAAACAGG